CUUAGUUGGUGGUGGCAGAGGCAGCGACGGCAGAGGAGAGGUUGAUGGUGCCAGAGAUUAGGAGGCUAGGGUUUCUUUUUCUGUUUAGGUUGUAGGCUUGUUGGGCCUUGGGGUUUUUUAUUAUUAUUUUGGGCCAUUGGGUCUUGUAAAUGGACUUGGUAAUUUGGAUUUUUUAUUUAUUUUUUGGUUUUAUUUAUUUGGUUCUAGGCUCGGGCAAAUUGGGCCUACUACAGCUGCCCCUCUUUACUCGUUGUCGUGUAACGAGAAUGGAGCAAAGACUUUUAAGAAGGAUCAAUUUCGCCCGGUCUUGCCGAAUCUUGACUUCUUGGUGCCUUUUCUCUUCAGUUAGCCUCAUUCCAAU
RNAcentral lists this long non-coding RNA (361 nucleotides) under Gossypium raimondii (Peruvian cotton). RNAcentral's name for it is "long non-coding RNA (GRAI_LNC001650)". Lineage: Eukaryota; Viridiplantae; Streptophyta; Magnoliopsida; Malvales; Malvaceae. The record is from RNAcentral.